Ornithodoros turicata is the source of this 1232-nucleotide long non-coding RNA. RefSeq lists it as uncharacterized. Lineage: Eukaryota; Metazoa; Arthropoda; Arachnida; Ixodida; Argasidae. The record is from RefSeq and is a predicted model, not a curated record. The transcript is spliced from 3 exons.
CAUCCUGUUCUUUGCGAUUUGAGCGUGGUGCACCGUAUGCCCUGUUUUUGUUGAACUUAUGGGACACCAGUAAAUCGUGGCGUUUGCUGUGAGGCUUCUCCCUAGUUUCAGAUCUCCGUGUGUCAUGCGUCCUGGCUCGUAGGGUGAUCAAGGCGCUCUUAUUGUAAUGUAUCGUUGCGGAAGGUGCCCUUGUGUUUUUAACACUCUGAUGGGCUACGUUGACCACUGUAGACAUGUACAUGAAGCGAGCAGAAUACCGUGUUGUCAUGCAUUAUGUGUGUACACGGCGGCGAACUAUGCAACACUCAGAUGUCACAUUUUGGGACGUUACAAGAACACAUCAGGACGGUCGCCUCGAAUCGAUUUGCUCUCCAAAACCACGAAAGUAUGUCACGUCCAUUCGUGCUCGCGUCAGUUCACUACGAAUAUAGAGAUAGUGUCACAUAUGAAGCAGCACAUACGAGAGGGUCAUGAUCAGAUGUCCUUAUGAACGCUGCCAGAAGAAGUUCCGUGCCGUCUCCGCGUUUUGUGUGCACCUUCAUAUGUUCUUCCAUUGAAAAAAUAAAACAGUGAGUAUAAUCUCCUUUCUCUUUGCAGUGUUUCGAUGCCAGAGCUGACUGAUGGGUGCACAUGGCUCCUUCGAAUGUUCUUCCUUUGAAAAAAUAAACAUGUUUUGAUGCCAGAGCUGACUGAUGGGUGCACAUGGUUCCUUCGAAUGUUCUUCCUUUGAAAAAAUAAACGGUGAGUAUAACUGCAUGUUAAUUGCCCUGCUCCCUGUAACAGUUUCCUUUCUCUUUGCAGAGUUUUGACGCCAGAGCUGACUGAUGGGUGCACAUGGUUCCUUCGAAUGUUCUUCCUUUGAAAAAAUAAACGGGUUUUGAUGCCAGAGGUGAUUGGCGCAUUUUCAUCACUAUGUACAUAGAAAAUAAAUCCCGAUGUGACAAACAUCACAAUGUGUUACGCAUGGUCAUUACUUAAACUGCUCUCAUUGCUACGACUGUAUGUAGAAAAAAAAAAAAAAGAGGGGUUCCAGGGAUGGGCACAGCACGAUAAGGGUACACUACAUAUGCCAGUUAAAAUUACUGGCCAAUGCAGUUUUUUUAACGACCACAGCACAGUAAUGCUACACGGCGUAUGCCUGUUAAAAUUACUGGCCAAUGCAGUAUUUUUCACGGGCACAACUUAUACGGGGCCACCGUAAAAAAAACGGCCAAUGUUUGGCAGCCAACUUU